GACGAACGCUGGCGGCGUGCCUAAUACAUGCAAGUUGAGCGCUGAAGGUUGGUACUUGUACCAACUGGAUGAGCAGCGAACGGGUGAGUAACGCGUGGGGAAUCUGCCUUUGAGCGGGGGACAACAUUUGGAAACGAAUGCUAAUACCGCAUAAAAACUUUAAACACAAGUUUUAAGUUUGAAAGAUGCAAUUGCAUCACUCAAAGAUGAUCCCGCGUUGUAUUAGCUAGUUGGUGAGGUAAAGGCUCACCAAGGCGAUGAUACAUAGCCGACCUGAGAGGGUGGUCGGCCACAAUGGGACUGAGACACGGCCCAAACUCCCACGGGAGGCAGCAGUAGGGAAUCUUCGGCAAUGGACGAAAGUCUGACCGAGCAACGCCGCGUGAGUGAAGAAGGUUUUCGGAUCGUAAAACUCUGUUGGUAGAGAAGAACGUUGGUGAGAGUGGAAAGCUCAUCAAGUGACGGUAACUACCCAGAAAGGGACGGCUAACUACGUG
Molecule: ribosomal RNA, 497 nt
Filed under: uncultured bacterium
Lineage: Bacteria
Description: partial 16S ribosomal RNA
Rfam family: Bacterial small subunit ribosomal RNA
Source: RNAcentral